Molecule: long non-coding RNA, 530 nt
Filed under: Bos taurus (domestic cattle)
Lineage: Eukaryota; Metazoa; Chordata; Mammalia; Artiodactyla; Bovidae
Description: long non-coding RNA NONBTAT014257
Source: RNAcentral
CUUAGACAACAACACUUAGUAAACAACUAAGUAAACAACACUUAGACAACAAAAGGAAAAAAAAUAGUACAGAUUUUAGGUAUUAAGAGCUUGAAAUUGGAGGACACGUCCGCGUGGAAAGCAGAGGUUUGGGCAGGGGCCGGUCCCUGCUUACCUGCACUUACAGGUGGGGCAGUGAGCAUGGGCUCCCAGGGAGGGGCUCUGGCUCCCAGGUGAGCACGUUACAGCAGUUUGGAACCUGCUGUUGCCCGCAUCCUGUAACUCCAGGAUUUUUUUUUUAUACCUUAGUAUCUUGAAGUUCUUUUUUUUGUAGCAAGAGAUCUCAGUUUUAUAAUGGAAAUCUUCGGACAAAUAGGAUUUACUUAACAUCCAGCUUUGCUGGAAUAUAUUUAGUCUAAUUUGAAGAGGUUUCUAUAGUUUCUUAACUUUUAUAAUUAGAAUUAAAAUGCUAACAUUUCUUGGGGAAAGCCCAAUCCAUAUUUCAAACUUGAAAGAUUAAAAAAGUGGCAUUUAUGUUAUUUAACAUGCAU